CCAAGGCAUAGCUCAACAUAAAGCAUCCAGCUUACACCCGGAAGAUAUCAACAUUAUCCGAUUGCCUUGA
Non-coding RNA from Rhinopithecus bieti (black snub-nosed monkey), 70 nucleotides. The record is from Ensembl. Lineage: Eukaryota; Metazoa; Chordata; Mammalia; Primates; Cercopithecidae.